GAUAAGCGCCGGUAAGGUGAUAUGAACCGUUAUAACCGGCGAUUUCCGAAUGGGGAAACCCAGUGUGAUUCGUCACACUAUCAUUAACUGAAUCCAUAGGUUAAUGAGGCGAACCGGGGGAACUGAAACAUCUAAGUACCCCGAGGAAAAGAAAUCAACCGAGAUUCCCCCAGUAGCGGCGAGCGAACGGGGAGGAGCCCAGAGCCUGAAUCAGCAUGUGUGUUAGUGGAAGCGUCUGGAAAGGCGCGCGAUACAGGGUGACAGCCCCGUACACAAAAGCGCAUGUGCUGUGAGCUCGAUGAGUAGGGCGGGACACGUGGUAUCCUGUCUGAAUAUGGGGGGACCAUCCUCCAAGGCUAAAUACUCCUGACUGACCGAUAGUGAACCAGUACCGUGAGGGAAAGGCGAAAAGAACCCCGGCGAGGGGAGUGAAAAAGAACCUGAAACCGUGUACGUACAAGCAGUGGGAGCACCCUUCGGGGUGUGACUGCGUACCUUUUGUAUAAUGGGUCAGCGACUUAUAUUCUGUAGCAAGGUUAACCGUAUAGGGGAGCCGGAGGGAAACCGAGUCUUAAUUGGGCGUUAAGUUGCAGGGUAUAGACCCGAAACCCGGUGAUCUAGCCAUGGGCAGGUUGAAGGUUGGGUAACACUAACUGGAGGACCGAACCGACUAAUGUUGAAAAAUUAGCGGAUGACCUGUGGCUGGGGGUGAAAGGCCAAUCAAACCGGGAGAUAGCUGGUUCUCCCCGAAAGCUAUUUAGGUAGCGCCUCGUGAAUUCAUCUCCGGGGGUAGAGCACUGUUUCGGCUAGGGGGCCAUCCCGGCUUACCAACCCGAUGCAAACUGCGAAUACCGGAGAAUGUUAUCACGGGAGACACACGGCGGGUGCUAACGUCCGUCGUGAAGAGGGAAACAACCCAGACCGCCAGCUAAGGUCCCAAAGUCAUGGUUAAGUGGGAAACGAUGUGGGAAGGCCCAGACAGCCAGGAUGUUGGCUUAGAAGCAGCCAUCAUUUAAAGAAAGCGUAAUAGCUCACUGGUCGAGUCGGCCUGCGCGGAAGAUGUAACGGGGCUAAACCAUGCACCGAAGCUGCGGCAGCGAACGUAUCACCCAAGACAACUUUACGGAGUUGACGAUUGACGGAGCGAAGCGACGUCAAAGCGUUCAUUAAAGUCGAGUUGGCUUAGGGAUACGUUCGUUGGGUAGGGGAGCGUUCUGUAAGCCUGUGAAGGUGUGUCGUGAGGCAUGCUGGAGGUAUCAGAAGUGCGAAUGCUGACAUAAGUAACGAUAAAGCGGGUGAAAAGCCCGCUCGCCGGAAGACCAAGGGUUCCUGUCCAACGUUAAUCGGGGCAGGGUGAGUCGACCCCUAAGGCGAGGCCGAAAGGCGUAGUCGAUGGGAAACGGGUUAAUAUUCCCGUACUUGGUGUUACUGCGAAGGGGGGACGGAGAAGGCUAUGUUGGCCGGGCGACGGUUGUCCCGGUUUAAGCGUGUAGGUGUGUGUUCCAGGUAAAUCCGGUUCACUUUAACACUGAGGCGUGACGACGAGGCACUACGGUGCUGAAGCAACAAAUGCCCUGCUUCCAGGAAAAGCCUCUAAGCAUCAGGUAACACGAAAUCGUACCCCAAACCGACACAGGUGGUCAGGUAGAGAAUACCAAGGCGCUUGAGAGAACUCGGGUGAAGGAACUAGGCAAAAUGGUGCCGUAACUUCGGGAGAAGGCACGCUGACACGUAGGUGAAGUGAUUUACUCAUGGAGCUGAAGUCAGUCGAAGAUACCAGCUGGCUGCAACUGUUUAUUAAAAACACAGCACUGUGCAAACACGAAAGUGGACGUAUACGGUGUGACGCCUGCCCGGUGCCGGAAGGUUAAUUGAUGGGGUCAGCGUAAGCGAAGCUCCUGAUCGAAGCCCCGGUAAACGGCGGCCGUAACUAUAACGGUCCUAAGGUAGCGAAAUUCCUUGUCGGGUAAGUUCCGACCUGCACGAAUGGCGUAAUGAUGGCCAGGCUGUCUCCACCCGAGACUCAGUGAAAUUGAACUCGCUGUGAAGAUGCAGUGUACCCGCGGCAAGACGGAAAGACCCCGUGAACCUUUACUAUAGCUUGACACUGAACAUUGAGCCUUGAUGUGUAGGAUAGGUGGGAGGCUUUGAAGUGUGGACGCCAGUCUGCAUGGAGCCGACCUUGAAAUACCACCCUUUAAUGUUUGAUGUUCUAACGUGGACCCGUAAUCCGGGUUGCGGACAGUGUCUGGUGGGUAGUUUGACUGGGGCGGUCUCCUCCUAAAGAGUAACGGAGGAGCACGAAGGUUGGCUAAUCCUGGUCGGACAUCAGGAGGUUAGUGCAAUGGCAUAAGCCAGCUUGACUGCGAGCGUGACGGCGCGAGCAGGUGCGAAAGCAGGUCAUAGUGAUCCGGUGGUUCUGAAUGGAAGGGCCAUCGCUCAACGGAUAAAAGGUACUCCGGGGAUAACAGGCUGAUACCGCCCAAGAGUUCAUAUCGACGGCGGUGUUUGGCACCUCGAUGUCGGCUCAUCACAUCCUGGGGCUGAAGUAGGUCCCAAGGGUAUGGCUGUUCGCCAUUUAAAGUGGUACGCGAGCUGGGUUUAGAACGUCGUGAGACAGUUCGGUCCCUAUCUGCCGUGGGCGCUGGAGAACUGAGGGGGGCUGCUCCUAGUACGAGAGGACCGGAGUGGACGCAUCACUGGUGUUCGGGUUGUCAUGCCAAUGGCACUGCCCGGUAGCUAAAUGCGGAAGAGAUAAGUGCUGAAAGCAUCUAAGCACGAAACUUGCCCCGA
This 2793-nucleotide ribosomal RNA is filed under the name Salmonella enterica subsp. enterica serovar Typhimurium. RNAcentral describes it as "partial 23S ribosomal RNA". It matches the Rfam family "Bacterial large subunit ribosomal RNA". The record is from RNAcentral. Lineage: Bacteria; Pseudomonadati; Pseudomonadota; Gammaproteobacteria; Enterobacterales; Enterobacteriaceae.